Molecule: long non-coding RNA, 412 nt
Organism: Drosophila montana
Lineage: Eukaryota; Metazoa; Arthropoda; Insecta; Diptera; Drosophilidae
Exons: 3
Source: RefSeq, a predicted model, not a curated record
UGCAAAGGCAAUCGUUGCGCCGAUUUAGCGCAGAUGCAUCACCUUUGGGGUUUUCCUUCACUGUUCGCACUCUAAAGUGAACCUCGCCGUAAGUGCCUAUGGAGUACAAUCAGGAGUCUUCGUCUGACUCUGCCAAGGACUCGAACGAAGAGGGGCAAAAUGGAACAUACUCACUCGGAGGAUGUGGGCGUGGUCUCGCCUGUGGCCGCUUCUUCGCUGUUGGAGCCCGGUCGUCUGGUCGCCUUCAGGGUUGCGCCGACGCUUGGCUGGCAGCGUCGCGGAUAUGGCUGGUGUGCACCGCUGAGCCGAAUCCUGGCCUUUGGGAUGUUUCGUGCGCCUCUCUGGUGCGAGAGCUGGUCCCUUCGUUGCCGGAGCCGUUUAUUUUGAUUUUUAUUGGUUCGUCUCUCGUCGC